Molecule: ribosomal RNA, 434 nt
Filed under: uncultured Blautia sp.
Lineage: Bacteria; Bacillati; Bacillota; Clostridia; Lachnospirales; Lachnospiraceae
Description: partial 16S ribosomal RNA
Rfam family: Bacterial small subunit ribosomal RNA
Source: RNAcentral
ACGGAAGGCAGCAGUGGGGAAUAUUGCACAAUGGGGGAAACCCUGAUGCAGCGACGCCGCGUGAAGGAAGAAGUAUCUCGGUAUGUAAACUUCUAUCAGCAGGGAAGAUAAUGACGGUACCUGACUAAGAAGCCCCGGCUAACUACGUGCCAGCAGCCGCGGUAAUACGUAGGGGGCAAGCGUUAUCCGGAUUUACUGGGUGUAAAGGGAGCGUAGACGGAGAAGUAAGUCUGAUGUGAAAGGCAUGGGCUCAACCUGUGGACUGCAUUGGAAACUAUUUUUCUUGAGUGCCGGAGGGGUAAGCGGAAUUCCUAGUGUAGCGGUGAAAUGCGUAGAUAUUAGGAGGAACACCAGUGGCGAAGGCGGCUUACUGGACGGUAACUGACGUUGAGGCUCGAAAGCGUGGGGAGCAAACAGGAUUAGAUACCCUGGUA